GUUAUAUGGUCAAGCGAAUAAGCGCACACGGUGGAUGCCUUGGCGGUCAGAGGCGAUGAAGGACGUGGCAGCCUGCGAAAAGUAUCGGGGAGCUGGCAACAAGCUUUGAUCCGGUAAUGUCCGAAUGGGGAAACCCACCCGCUUGCGGGUAUCCUGCAGUGAAUACAUAGCUGCUGGAAGCGAACCUGGUGAACUGAAAUAUCUAAGUAACCAGAGGAAAAGAAAUCAACCGAGAUUCCGUAAGUAGCGACGAGCGAACGCGGACUAGCCCUUAAGCUGGAUUGGUUCUAGGAAAACGCUCUGGAAAGAGCGGCCAUAGAAGGUGAUAGCCCUGUAUCUGAAAGGGCCAUUCCAGUGAAGACGAGUAGGGCGGGGCACGUGAAACCCUGUCUGAACAUGGGGGGACCAUCCUCCAAGGCUAAAUACUACUGACCGACCGAUAGUGAACCAGUACCGUGAGGGAAAGGCGAAAAGAACCCCGGAGAGGGGAGUGAAAUAGAACCUGAAACCGUGUGCGUACAAGCAGUAGGAGCUCCGCAAGGAGUGACUGCGUACCUUUUGUAUAAUGGGUCAGCGACUUACUGUUCGUGGCAAGCUUAACCGUAUAGGGGAGGCGAAGGGAAACCGAGUCUGAUAAGGGCGCAUAGUCGCGGGCAGUAGACCCGAAACCGGGUGAUCUAGUCAUGCCCAGGGUGAAGGUGCGGUAACACGCACUGGAGGCCCGAACCCACUCCCGUUGCAAAGGUAGGGGAUGAGGUGUGAUUAGGAGUGAAAAGCUAAUCGAACCCGGAGAUAGCUGGUUCUCCUCGAAAGCUAUUUAGGUAGCGCCUCAUAUGUAUCCUCUCGGGGGUAGAGCACUGUUAUGGCUAGGGGGUCAUCGCGACUUACCAAACCAUUGCAAACUCCGAAUACCGAGACGGACUGUAUGGGAGACACACGGCGGGUGCUAACGUCCGUCGUGAAAAGGGAAACAACCCAGACCCACAGCUAAGGUCCCAAAUUUUGUGCUAAGUGGAAAACCAUGUGGAAAGGCACAGACAGCCAGGAGGUUGGCUUAGAAGCAGCCACCCUUUAAAGAAAGCGUAAUAGCUCACUGGUCGAGUCGGUCUGCGGGGAAGAUUUAACGGGGCUAAGCACAGAACCGAAGCUUGGGGUGCAUAACUUUGUUAUGCGCGGUAGAGGAGCGUUCCGUAAGCCGUUGAAGGUGGAUUGAGAAGUCUGCUGGAGGUAUCGGAAGUGCGAAUGCUGACAUGAGUAACGAUAAUGCGGGUGAAAAACCCGCACGCCGAAAGCCCAAGGUUUCCUUGCGCAACGUUAAUCGGCGCAGGGUGAGUCGGCCCCUAAGGCGAGGACGAAAGUCGUAGUCGAUGGGAAGCAGGUUAAUAUUCCUGCACCUCGCGUAAGUGCGAUGGAGGGACGGAGAAGGUUAGGUGUACCAGGCGUUGGUUGUCCUGGGGAAAGGCGGUAGGUUUGGAUCUUUGGCAAAUCCGGGAUCCUUUAAGACCGAGCACCGAGACGAGCCUUUAUGGCGAAGUCACUGAUACCACGCUUCCAGGAAAAGCUCCUAAGCUUCAGCUUACGCAGACCGUACCGUAAACCGACACAGGUGGGUAGGAUGAGAAUUCUCAGGCGCUUGAGAGAACUCGGGUGAAGGAACUAGGCAACAUGGCACCGUAACUUCGGGAGAAGGUGCACCCUUUUUGGUGGCUCGUGCGAGCUAUAGCUGAAGAGGGUCGCAGUAACCAGGCCGCUGCGACUGUUUAUCAAAAACACAGCACUCUGCAAACACGAAAGUGGACGUAUAGGGUGUGACGCCUGCCCGGUGCUGGAAGGUUAAUUGAUGGGGUCAGCCGCAAGGCGAAGCUCUUGAUCGAAGCCCCAGUAAACGGCGGCCGUAACUAUAACGGUCCUAAGGUAGCGAAAUUCCUUGUCGGGUAAGUUCCGACCUGCACGAAUGGCGUAACGACAGCGGCGCUGUCUCCACCCGAGACUCAGUGAAAUUGAAAUCGCUGUGAAGAUGCAGCGUUCCCGUGGCAAGACGGAAAGACCCCGUGAACCUUUACUAUAGCUUUACACUGAACGUUGAGUUCGUCUGUGUAGGAUAGGUGGGAGGCUAUGAAACCAUGGCGCUAGCUGUGGUGGAGCCAUCCUUGAAAUACCACCCUGUCGUGCUUGACGUUCUAACCUGGGCCCAUUAUCUGGGUCGGGGACCGUGUAUGGUGGGUAGUUUGACUGGGGCGGUCUCCUCCUAAAGAGUAACGGAGGAGCUCGAAGGUACGCUCAGCGCGGUCGGACAUCGCGCACUGUGUGCAAAGGCAUAAGCGUGCUUGACUGCAAGAUCGACGGAUCAAGCAGGUAGGAAACUAGGACUUAGUGAUCCGGUGGUUCUGUAUGGAAGGGCCAUCGCUCAACGGAUAAAAGGUACUCCGGGGAUAACAGGCUGAUACCGCCCAAGAGUUCAUAUCGACGGCGGUGUUUGGCACCUCGAUGUCGGCUCAUCACAUCCUGGGGCUGUAGUCGGUCCCAAGGGUAUGGCUGUUCGCCAUUUAAAGUGGUACGCGAGCUGGGUUCAGAACGUCGUGAGACAGUUCGGUCCCUAUCUGCCAUGGGCGUUGGAGAUUUGAGAGGGGCUGCUCCUAGUACGAGAGGACCGGAGUGGACGAACCUCUGGUGUUCCGGUUGUCACGCCAGUGGCAUUGCCGGGUAGCUAUGUUCGGAAGCGAUAACCGCUGAAAGCAUCUAAGCGGGAAGCGCGCCUCAAGAUGAGAUCUCCCGGGGCACAAGCCCCCUGAAGGAACCAUGUAGACUACGUGGUUGAUAGGUCAGGUGUGUAAGUACAGCAAUGUAUUGAGCUAACUGAUACUAAUGAUCCGUGCGGCUUGACCAUAUAACCU
This 2894-nucleotide ribosomal RNA is filed under the name Stenotrophomonas maltophilia. Its description in RNAcentral is "bacterial LSU rRNA". It matches the Rfam family "Bacterial large subunit ribosomal RNA". The record is from RNAcentral. Lineage: Bacteria; Pseudomonadati; Pseudomonadota; Gammaproteobacteria; Lysobacterales; Lysobacteraceae.